Long non-coding RNA from Talpa occidentalis (Iberian mole), 1401 nucleotides. RefSeq lists it as uncharacterized. Lineage: Eukaryota; Metazoa; Chordata; Mammalia; Eulipotyphla; Talpidae. The record is from RefSeq and is a predicted model, not a curated record. The transcript is spliced from 3 exons.
UUUCCUUCACUUCCGGUUGGGGCUCGCGUCACUUGACGUUACAGGCCAGAGAGGGUGCUGGGAGGUUUGCUUCCUCUGGUGAGGCCCGUAGGCGCCAUUUUGGAAUUGGGCAGGAGGUGGUACCGAUAGCGGAAAGCAGGACCGGCCAUUUUUAGUUAGGGGAUCGGAACCCAUUUCGGGCGUGGGUAGCCAUUCUUGUUUGGGGCAAGAGCUUGACAGUUGAAGUCAACGGUUCUCAUCUUUACCUUGGGCAAAAUUUCCCUUCCCUAUCUUUUUACUUUCUGAAGUCGAGGAAGGAAACCCCCAGAAUCCAUCAGGUUGCUGAGAUUUAACUCCUUCGUUGACUAAUUGACUAAAGGACUUUUCCGUUUAUGAUAUACGCCAAGUUGCAAAGAGAUAUUUUGCACAAGAAACUAUUUUAGGAGCCUUCCUGUGUUUCAAAGUGAUUGGAACGGGGCUUAUAAGAAACGAAAGGUAGCGUCCAUCAUCAGCAAGUUUCUUGACUGGUAGAGGAGACACUGUCCUUGCCCUCAGCGAACAGCAAGUAAAGUUAGUGGUUCGCUUCGCGGAAGGAGGCGACACCUCUCUUCAGAAACUGUAACUCCAAAGAAUACCCAGUUUAGCUCUGUGGUGAGCCCCCACCUUCCCUACCCAUCCCCUUUAUGGUUCGAGAGCCCUGGAUGGCCCGUGUUUGGGAGUGGGGAGUGCCGUGCCAGAGUCAGAGAAACAUUGAACCCCAUUUAGUCCAAGUGACCUGGAAAUCCAGAUGCUUAAGCCAGGAGAGGAAGUGAGCUGCAGCUCAAAAAGGCAUGGAUGGUAAAAUAAUUAGAAGGCCUGCUUUGAGAGGGCCUAGAAGAAGUUGGUCACAGAUGUUAAGGCUAGAAGGAGAGAGCUAAGAAAAGACUGGGAAGUGUAGAAGAUUUCAUUGGGGAUUUAACGUCGCUGGAGAUAAAAGCCACGAGAGGACCAAGGCGUGGCCAAGAGCGACUAUUGAGAAUCCUGGCAAGCUCGGUCUUUAAGUUAGGAACCCAGUUUUACCUGAGGUCAGCUAAGCUGGAGAUCCACCUCACCUCUCUGGCACUCCACCCCAGCAGAGCUAAAGAACAAAGGAGCAGAAGUGAACCUGAGGUCACUCUAGGAUGUUCUGGCUCCAAGACUAAUGGCUGCUGUUGGGCCUCCCUGGUGGCACAAGGGGUUGAGACGCAACCUAUGAAGCAAUACGCAGCCACUGCAGUACAAGUUCGAUCCCCGGCAAGGGAGCAACCCACGUGGCACAGCAGACCUCUCCUCUCUCACCCACUGCUCCCCUCAGCAGCGUAUUUCAGUCAGUCUGCCUGUUCUGUUCCCCACUCAGUCUCUGGUGAAUCCUUUUACCUCCCAUACCUCUGGCCUGUACCCCAG